This 1059-nucleotide long non-coding RNA is filed under the name Triticum aestivum (bread wheat). RNAcentral describes it as "long non-coding RNA (TAES_LNC011909)". The record is from RNAcentral. Lineage: Eukaryota; Viridiplantae; Streptophyta; Magnoliopsida; Poales; Poaceae.
UUAUUAAUAAGAAAUAUAUAUGUAUAUAUCAAACAGGCAGAAGAGAGAAAGCAUAUGAAAAUCUUCAAAUAAUAGCUAAAAUAAGUUUAUUACAAUAUGCUAUACAGAACAGAACACGUGAAACUACAUACACUCAUUCACAUCACAAAAACCAGUUUCCAUACACUCAUUCACAUCACAUCAACCAGUUUAACCAUCGAAUCUUGCAUACUCAGGAACUUCCGCUUAUGUGCAGACCUACAGGAAGGGCAUCUCUCCAGCAUCAUCUCUCGUAACCUAAAAGAAGGAACAUAAACCAUCAUCAGAAUUUGCAACUUUUUAUCCUGCCAAAAUAUUAAUACUUGUUUAAAACAAAGGAUUGAUGGAAAAAUUAUUUCCAUAGCCGUUUGUUGGAUACUAAUGGUAGUUUGAGUAGGUAGGCUCAAUAGUUCAAUGUGUUAAAGAACCAGGUGCAUUUUUCUCUACAGCCGAACUAGGUUUAUAGUUCAAAGUCUGUUAAGCAUGUGACACAAAACAUUUUUUGUAUUUCAGCAUGAUAGACCAUAAACAUAACUUGCUAAUUGCAGGUUUACUAACUACAGGUCCUGUUAUCGGCAACCAAAAGCAUUAGGCGAUGAAGAAUAGUAUAUUUGGAAUGCAAUUCAUUAGCCAACCACAUAUGAUAGUCCAUGUGGGUAUUACAUCAGGGAGAAGCCAACAGAUAAGUACAUAUGACAAGAAACAAAAACAGAGAGGUCGUACAACACAGGCACGUGCAUAUCUCCAUGACACCAACCAAGCAAGGAAUGUACAAACAAGAAGCGCACCUUCAGCGUCUCAUCAUCGGUCAUGAUAGGUGUGCUGGUAGGUGGUUGACGAUCCUCCAUUCUUGUCAUGCUUGGUCAUGAUCUGGAUAGCGAAAAGAGGGAGGUUAGGAACAUCACAAUGACAGUACUGAGAUCACUCAAGCAAUCCUAAUGAUGCACAAACCUCACAAUGUUGCCAACAAGGCAAGAACUUCCUUGAUAUUAUCCUUGAUGUUAUCUAGCUCCAGGUUGUUUCGCUGCAGCUCGAUAUUUG